This 177-nucleotide small RNA is filed under the name Gopherus agassizii (Agassiz's desert tortoise). RNAcentral's name for it is "TUC338 (ENSGAGG00000013040.1)". The record is from RNAcentral. Lineage: Eukaryota; Metazoa; Chordata; Testudines; Testudinidae.
UAGAAGCGCUGGAGUAUGAAAUGCUCUUUUUCAUCCACAAAGCAAGUGCAGCACAUGCAGCAGCAGUGCAAACUUCUCUAUGUGGACUGCCAAUAAACUUCCACCCUCAGCAGAAAAAAUACACCUUUACGGUUAAGGGCUUGUCUAUACAUUAAAGUUAUUCUCCAGAACAAGGCA